UGUGGCCUUGAGCCGUGGCUUUCGGAGCUAACGCGUUAAGUAGACCGCCUGGGGAGUACGGUCGCAAGAUUAAAACUCAAAUGAAUUGACGGGGGCCCGCACAAGCGGUGGAGCAUGUGGUUUAAUUCGAUGCAACGCGAAGAACCUUACCUACUCUUGACAUCCAGAGAACUUAGCAGAGAUGCUUUGGUGCCUUCGGGAACUCUGAGACAGGUGCUGCAUGGCUGUCGUCAGCUCGUGUCGUGAGAUGUUGGGUUA
This 258-nucleotide ribosomal RNA is filed under the name Vibrio sp. a11m1m2. RNAcentral's name for it is "partial 16S ribosomal RNA". It matches the Rfam family "Bacterial small subunit ribosomal RNA", at positions 825 to 1082 of the family's 1533-position model. Lineage: Bacteria; Pseudomonadati; Pseudomonadota; Gammaproteobacteria; Vibrionales; Vibrionaceae. The record is from RNAcentral.